Felis catus (domestic cat) is the source of this 4276-nucleotide long non-coding RNA. RefSeq lists it as uncharacterized. The transcript is spliced from 4 exons. NCBI's taxonomy places the organism in Eukaryota, Metazoa, Chordata, Mammalia, Carnivora, Felidae. The record is from RefSeq and is a predicted model, not a curated record.
UGCGUGGGCUGGCUUCCGGCAGCCCUGGCCGGGGACCCGGAGGAGGGCGAGCCGGGAUGAGGCCCCCGAGCCUGGGAGGGGGAGAGGCCGGGUGGGAGGCCUGGCGCAGGCGUCCACCUGACCCGGUUCAGACUUUCUCAAACCCACACGGCCGUCCACCGUCCACCUGGACCGGUGUCGCCCGUAUCACUUCCGCUGCGCACUGAGCACGGACGCUCGUGACGUGUGGUGGUGCACGCGCUGUUUGCUCCAGUCCUUGUAACCUGAAGUCUCCGCCAUCAAGAUCGUGGUCCUCAUCUGCACACUCACGUUCCUGGCAGAAGGUGGAAAACCCAGGGGUCCAUCAGCAAACAAAACGUGGUCUAUCCAUACAGUGGAACAUCACUCAGUCUUAACAAGGAAGAAAACGCUGACACCUGCUGCAGCAAGGGCCUCGAGGACAGGAUGCUGAGUGCAACCGGCCAGUCACAGAAGGACAAGUACUGUGUCAUUCACUCAUAGGAGAUCGUCAAAUUCAGAGACACAAAGUAGAAUGGGAUGGGGGGGGGAGGGAAGGGCUGGGGGGAGGGGGACAGCCGAGUUCUUAUUUAAUGAGGACGGACUUUCGGUUUGGGAGGAUGAAAAAGUGUUGGAGGUGGUUGCACGACAGUGUGAAUGUAAUGAAUACCACAGAACUGUGCACCUAAAAAUGGCUGAAUGGUAAAUUUUGUGUUUGUGCAUUUUACCACGAUUUAAAAAAACAAAAACAAAACCGAAAUGCCUCCAUGCACCCAAGAGCUCAUCCUGCACGGGGAUCUACACACCAAGACUACCUGGAAGGCCCCUGCACCUUCCAACCAGAAGUAUUUGUCUCCUGGGCGGGCUUGCAUGGGCCUGGCCAGAAUAGCCUCAUGCAGCUGGGCCUUGAGACCAGUGAGUGAAAUCUGGGCACUUCACUUAACCUACAAAGAAACAUCACAGUGGCCAGUGGGAACGCUCAAGACUCAAGUGGCCGGGGAAACUGUCCUGCGGGGCCUUACGGGCUUGGAAUUCAGGGCCACAGGAAGUGGGGAGAGGACCUGAAUGUUCCAUGGCCUCCUGGAGAGAAGCCUCACAGCCGGGCAGUACCCCCUCCUAGUGGCCUCCCAGAGGCUCCUCUUUUCCAGAUUCCCAAGUCUGCCCGAGACGGCUUCGGACAGACAUGGUGCCCCUGUGCAGUGUAAAGCCCUCCAACAGAUCCUCUUUAAGGUUCUUGGGGGUCUGCUCUGUCCCAGGAAAGGACACAGCAUCCCGACUACUGGCCCUACCCCAUCCCCACUGUGGCCUCACUAGAGAGUGAAAGCAGAAAGGAAAAGGAGGCUCAGAGAGGUUAAGUGAUAUGCUCAGGGUCACACAGCUGAUAACCUCAGAGCCAGGACCGGAAACCAGUCACUCUGACCACAAAACUCACACUCUCCUACAACUGUGUUUCUCAACUAGGAGUGGGUGAGUGAGUGUGUGGAGAGGAGCCCCAAGACAGACGUGGAUCAGCCCCCAGAGCAUUAGGUUUACUCGGACAUCUGGGGUGGGAGGUGGGGAAGCAAGCCAGUGGAUAAAAUCUUACUUCUUCAUUACUCAACUUCAUCACCUCAUCCCCAUGGUAAAGGGGCAGAGCACAACACCCGUAUGGAUUCUUCAGUAAACCCAGGGACUUCGGGCUGGCAUCCGUCUCAUCUUCUGAGUUCACUGGCCCCCACAAUUAAGGAAACAUUGGUGGAAAAGUUCGAGAAGGUUAUGUUCCAUCUGCCACUUUGGGGAGAAAGUACCACCCCAUCUUGUGACGUGCUUCACGACGACUCACCAAAUGAAAGGAUAAGUCCGCUGGAACAGGUCGGCACGGGUGUCCUUUGUGGCUGCCUCCCAAGCCCCCCAGGUAUACUUCACGUCCACUGCAGAGCCCAACCGCGGCUUGGAUUCACAACCCUGAGAUCAAGACUUACACUGAGAUAAGAGUCAGAUGCUUAACCGACUGAGCCACCCAGGCGCCCUUUGCUGCCUCUAUUCUGGCUGGGACCCACACCCUGCCUUACACAUGCCUUUUAGGACAGAUAAUAUAUGUCUUCCUUAUAAAGGUCGAGGAGUUAAUGAUUUCUUUGGAAUUUUCCAGCACAACAGAUAACAUCUAAGGAGUGACCAGGUUGGGCAUCAUUCCCAAGACCACCGAGCCACCAAGACCCCUGGCUCCGGGGCAUUAGUGCCUCACAGAGGACCUCUAAACACUCGCCUUUGUUCCUGGAUGCCCGAGAAGACGUGUGUACAGGACCACAGUCCUCAGUAAAAACCCCAGAGUCCAAGCAAAGACUCCCCUUUCCGAGUCUCCCAGACACGGUCUGUCCCUGCACUCUGUGUCUGCAAGAAACUCCACUCUCACCUCCUGCUGGCCCGAAUUUGAUGUCACUCCUGCGAGAACCCAAGUACCCUCUUGUUUGGUCCCGUGAGACCCCCUCUGGGUCCUCAGACCCAGCCAGCCUGCAUUAAGGGGGGGGUACCCUGUGGCCCCGGCGCCUCCUGCUUCUCUGGACUUGACCCUGAUCCCGGCCACCCAGCCAUCGCCAGGCAGCGUCUGGGAGAGAGAACGCCCACUGCUUCUCUCACUUGCCCCGGCGGGGAGAGGGCCUGAAGAGGGGUGCAGCAACUCCCUGAGGCGCUGGAGCCUGGGGCGCCCCAGGGAUGACAGAGGCACCGCCCCGGCCCCUGGGUGUGGUGGUCCUUUGUGCCUCCCAGGCUGAGUCCCUGCACCCUUCCAUCAGUCUGUCCAUCUGACACACGGGAACCCGGCCACCCCAGGGUGAGGGGGACAUGAAGGUGCUUCUGAGAGCAUAGCCCUGGCAGACGCUCUGUGUGCUCAGGGGCUCUAGGACCCACAGGGGAGGCUGAGCAGGUGGGACUCCCUUCUUCUCUAAGGGGGGCUGUUGUUGGGCUCCUCAGUAAGACUCCCCCUGACGAGCGAUUAAGCUACUAAAAACCAUUUGAGGCCCCGCCCCCCCCCAUGAGGUGUCCAGUCAUGACCCCCAGGGCUGCACUGCACCAAGACCUCAUCGUUCCUCUUUGGGCCUCCUUACAGAAGGCCCCUUGAGACAGAAGAGCAUUGGACUAAGUCAAACAGACCCGGAAGAAAACCCCAAACAACAGUGGCUGAGAAAGAUGAAAGUUUCGUUUUCUUGCACUCUCAAGACGUUUACAGGUGGCCGGGGCUCGUGCAGCCAGCAGUGUCACAGUGCCAGGACCCUGAGCUCCUUGUAUACUGUGGCUCUGCCGUGCAGUCUUCAUUUCCAACAUCAUCACCUCAUGGUCCAAAAUGGCUGCUAACGCUCCUGCCAUUAGAUCUGCAUUACAGGCAGCAGAAGGAGAAAGGGGAGUAGGGUGUGUCUUGCCCUUUAAGAACCUUUCCUAAUGUCAAACACUAUUUUUACAUCCAGGCCAAAAUUUAGUCACAUGGCACACCUAAGUAUAAUGGAGACUGGGAGGUAUCUUGAUUCCAAGCAGCAAAUGCCCAGCGGGGAGCCCAGGGAGGCUAAAACCAAGGACAGAAGAUGAUCCUGUUUUACAGUUGCUGGUUCCCGGGUUCACGGAUCACCACGAGCGUUCGACGUGAUGACUGAUUUUCCACCUGCAAGCUGACUGUCACAGCCUGGAAGUGUCCGCAAGCUGCACGAGGCCCGGACCUUGCCUGCCUCUCAUGCUGUCUCAAGUGCAGAACAACAGAGACCCCACUAGACCAUGGAUGGAGGAACCCCGAGCCCAGCACCCAGCCUUCAUCCGCUCACCGAUUCUCACAUGGCUUGUAUAAUCACCCCCACUCUGGCGGUGAGCAAACUGAGGCUCACAAUAUGCAAACCUUGUCUGGGACCCAGGACCAAGGACCCAGGACCCGGGCUGCAUGUGACUUUCAUGUGCCCAAGGCAUUUUACCUCCCUGGGCUCCUUCCUCCAUUAAAAAUACAAAAGUUCUGGGGCAUCUGGGUGGCUCAGUCGGCUAAGCAUCCAACUCUUGAUUUCAGCUCAGAUCAUGAUCUCAUCGCCAUGAGAUCCAGCCCCGAGUCAGGCUCUGCACUGAUACCGUGGAGCCUGCUUGGGAUUAUCUCUCUCUCUCUCUCUCUGCUCCUCCCCCCUUCUGUGUUCACACGCCCACGGGCUCGCUCUUUCUCUCUCAAAAUAAACAAACUUUAAAAAAUGUAUGAGGGGCGCCUGGGUGGCUCAGUCGGUUAAGCGUCCGACUUCAGCUCAGGUCAUGAUCUCACUGUUCGUGAGUUCGUGAG